This 369-nucleotide long non-coding RNA is filed under the name Homo sapiens (human). RNAcentral describes it as "HSALNT0117603". The record is from RNAcentral. Lineage: Eukaryota; Metazoa; Chordata; Mammalia; Primates; Hominidae.
AUCGGAAACAAAAGCCAAGAAUGCUGAGGGGCCCCCGGGGCCAGUGACAGCGGCUGGCCGGGCGCCAGCAAUCACCAUAGGGGCUGUAACCUCGGUGCUCGGACGGACUCAGGACAGACGCCGGCGCUCCGAUGCAGUCAGGACAGACGCCAGCGCUCGGACGGACUCAGGACAGACGCCGGCGCUCGGACGGACUCAGGACAGACGCGGGCGCUCGGACCGACUCAGGACAGACGCGGGCGCUCGGACGGACUCCGGACAGACGCGGGCGCUCGAAGGACUCCGGACAGACGCCGGCGCUCGGAUGGACUCUGGAUAGACGCCGGCGCUCGGACGGACUCAGGAUAGACGCCGGCAGACCCACACCUC